ACGAACGCUGGCGGCGUGCUUAACCCCUGCAAGUCGAACGGAAAGGCCCUGCUUUUGUGGGGUGCUCGAGUGGCGAACGGGUGAGUAACACGUGAGUAACCUGCCCUUGACUUUGGGGUAACUUUAGGAAAAUUGGGCUAAUACCGGAUAGGAGCUCCUGCUGCAUGGGUGGGGGUGGAAAGGUUCGGCGGUUGGGGAUGGACUCGCGGCUUAUCCGCUUGUUGGUGGGGUAGUGGCUUACCAAGGCUUUGACGGGUAGCCGGCCUGAGAGGGUGACCGGCCACAUUGGGACUGAGAUACGGCCCAGACUCCUACGGGAGGCAGCAGUGGGGAAUAUUGCACAAUGGGCGGAAGCCUGAUGCAGCAACGCCGCGUGCGGGAUGACGGCCUUCGGGUUGUAAACCGCUUUCGCCUGUGACGAAGCGUGAGUGACGGUAAUGGGUAAAGAAGCACCGGCUAACUACGUG
Molecule: ribosomal RNA, 467 nt
Filed under: uncultured bacterium
Lineage: Bacteria
Description: partial 16S ribosomal RNA
Rfam family: Bacterial small subunit ribosomal RNA
Source: RNAcentral